RNAcentral lists this unclassified non-coding RNA (420 nucleotides) under Hevea brasiliensis (rubber tree). The record is from RNAcentral. Lineage: Eukaryota; Viridiplantae; Streptophyta; Magnoliopsida; Malpighiales; Euphorbiaceae.
UUCGGACAGUCAGAAUGCCUGAAAUUACAAUUAAAUGAUAGUGAGGAGACAUAAAAUGAUGAAAUACAUGAUAAGAAAAUACAAAAAAAAUUAAGAGAAAAUAAAAGAAAGGAAAUGCAACUAGGUUAAUCAAGUCGAAACCGUAGUGAUGGGUGACCGCACCAGGAAGUUACGGCGAAAAUAAUUGUCGACCCCAGGACCACGAGGAACCCUAGAAAAUAAUUUUCGAGACUUAAUUAAAGGUCUACUGAGGUACAAAUGACAUUAAAAAUGUUAAAGAAAAUUUAGUUAAUCAGUACCGAUGAACACAAAAAUUAAAGGAAUAGGCGGAUCAGAGAUUUAAUCGGUAGUACCGAAAAAGUGGGACUACAACCCGAAGAGGGGUAUUUUGGUCAAUUGACACCUAGAGUUGACUUUUGA